RNAcentral lists this ribosomal RNA (800 nucleotides) under uncultured bacterium. Its description in RNAcentral is "bacterial SSU rRNA". It matches the Rfam family "Bacterial small subunit ribosomal RNA", at positions 8 to 802 of the family's 1533-position model. The record is from RNAcentral.
AGAGUUUGAUCAUGGCUCAGAACGAACGCUGGCGGCGCGCCUAAUACAUGCAAGUCGAGCGAGAAGGUGUAGCAAUACACUUGUAAAGCGGCGAACGGGUGAGGAAUACAUGGGUAAUCUACCAUCGAGUGGGGAAUAACCAACCGAAAGGUUGGCUAAUACCGCGUACGCCUCCGAGUCUUCGGGUUCGGAGGGAAAGCUGCACUGUGAGUGUAGCGCUCUUUGAUGAGCUCAUGUCCUAUCAGCUUGUUGGUAGGGUAACGGCCUACCAAGGCUUUGACGGGUAGCUGGUCUGAGAGGACGAUCAGCCACACUGGCACUGCGACACGGGCCAGACUCCUACGGGAGGCAGCAGUAAGGAAUAUUGCGCAAUGGGCGAAAGCCUGACGCAGCGACGCCGCGUGGGGGAUGAAGGUCUUCGGAUUGUAAACCCCUUUCGGGAGGGAAGAUGGAGCGAGCAAUCGUUCGGACGGUACCUCCAGAAGCAGCCACGGCCAACUUCGUGCCAGCAGCCGCGGUAAUACGAAGGUGGCAAGCGUUGUUCGGAUUCACUGGGCGUACAGGGUGUGUAGGCGGUUUGGUAAGCCUUCUGUUAAAGCUUCGGGCCCAACCCGGAAAGCGCAGAGGGUACUGCCAGGCUAGAGGGUGGGAGAGGAGCGCGGAAUUCCCGGUGUAGCGGUGAAAUGCGUAGAGAUCGGGAGGAAGGCCGGUGGCGAAGGCGGCGCUCUGGAACAUACCUGACGCUGAGACACGAAAGCGUGGGGAGCAAACAGGAUUAGAUACCCUGGUAGUCCACGCCC